This 474-nucleotide ribosomal RNA is filed under the name uncultured bacterium. Its description in RNAcentral is "bacterial SSU rRNA". It matches the Rfam family "Bacterial small subunit ribosomal RNA", at positions 37 to 507 of the family's 1533-position model. The record is from RNAcentral.
UGGCGGCAUGCCUUACACAUGCAAGUCGAAGGCAGGCACGGGAGCUUGCUCCUGGUGGCGAGUGGCGAACGGGUGAGUAAUAUAUCGGAACUGCCCAGUCGUGGGGAUAACGUAGCGAAAGCUACGCUAAUACCGCAUACGAUCUAUGGAUGAAAGCGGGGGAUCGCAAGACCUCGCGCGAUUGGAGCGGCCGAUAUCAGAUUAGGUAGUUGGUGAGGUAAAGGCUCACCAAGCCGACGAUCUGUAGCUGGUCUGAGAGGACGACCAGCCACACUGGGACUGAGACACGGCCCAGACUCCUACGGGAGGCAGCAGUGGGGAAUUUUGGACAAUGGGCGCAAGCCUGAUCCAGCAAUGCCGCGUGCAGGAUGAAGGCCUUCGGGUUGUAAACUGCUUUGUACGGAACGAAACGGUGAGCUCUAAUACAGUUUGCUAAUGACGGUACCGUAAGAAUAAGCACCGGCUAACUACGUG